CAAAUCUAUUUGCUUUCAUAACUAUUAAUGCUUAGGUCUCACUUCCAUGCCCUCAACUAUAAUCCCACCUUUUAGUUGAUACCCUUUCACCUCCUUCAAGCUCAUUUUCACCUCAUCAUCAUCACACACACCAUUAAAGAAUUUUCCAAGCUCGAUUUCCACCCACCCAUCUUCUUUUUCACAUGGGAUUUGUUCAUUUUCGCCGCCUUUAUGUGUCAACUUUGAUGUCACCAUCAUUUCCAUGCCAUCCACUAGCACUGAUGAAUCACUUUUUUGCUUGCUGCCCAAAUAAGCCUUGCCUUUGGACGCCUGACGACCACCAAUUUCAAUUGAAAUUUCAGCGGCUUCUGAAUCAAGCCCUUAUGCUCUAUCACUUAUUUUCAUUAUAAGAUAAGCUCCAUACAUUGUGUUUUGUGACAGCAUUUUGGUCUUGAUCUUGCCUUCAAUUUCCAGCCAAUUUGAUGUUCUCAGCACCGCAACUUCUGAAAAUCUACAAUAAUAAAAAAAUAAUUAAUUAUCAUAUAAAAUGUGCGUUUACUUAGCAAGUUUAUAUAUCGUUUUUUUUUUAGAAAAAAAAAAAAAAAAAAGAGACCAACCUUGAUUCCUGCAUGGACACCCAGCUCCAAUAAAUUGGAUUGCUACUCCAUGUUAUACUAAGAGCUCUUGCAGACAAAAUAUAAGAAUUUUUGCCUGAUGAUUUCUCUAACUUGAAGCUCUACACAUGUUGACAAAGAAACAUAAUUGAACAUUUUAUAACUGAUUUUCUUCAAAGCAGGCGUCUGUAUUUUAUAAACUUAGCAAGCUUAAUUAGCACUAAGACUGCAUGCAAACGUUCGUACCAGAGAAGGGAAUGAUUGGAGCAAAAAGUAAUAAAGUACGUACGAUCUUGCCGUCAUCAAUGAGAAAAGGGUGGCAAAGGAGAGCGAAGAGCUCCUUCUUGGAGGAAAAUGCGAGGGGAGAGACUGAUUUGGAGACGAUCUCGAGCCAAUCAGAGGGCAAGAACUUGUCCCAGAUAAUGUCGGAGUCCAUGGCCGAUCGAAACGAAGAAGAAACAAGCGAUGAUCUGCAUGCAUCUAACGGACAAGUGAGGGAGAAAACAGUCGCAACACACUCUUCUGGCAGCACGUUGAAGUAGCAAUUGGUAUCGAAAUUGGCUUCCAUUGUUUUUCAGAAAUACGUAUAGCUUUAAUUCUUUGUUCAUCAGAGUCCCUGAAACCUACUGAUAUCUUUACGCUUGGUUUUGAUUUUUGUCUUUGUUUUAAGGUUGCUUUCAGGGCGGGCAUAAUGUUGUAUAAUUGUCCAAAGAGAGAUACGUAAUUCAUCAAAUAAAUGCGUUGAAAUAAUUGCGAUAAAGAAGUGUACACGUUAGCUGGUAGGGAAUGCAGUAGAAUAUAUUAAUAUAAUUAAUUAAUUACUAAAGACAGAAUUAAAUGCGCAUUAUAAUAUUUAUCUAAUCCACUUAUAAUAUAUAUUUUAAAAUUUAAAAUUUUUAAUGUUAAUUUAUAAAGCUUAACAAUCAUGCUUAUUUUGCAUUCUCAUUAACUUUUGAUAGAUUUAUAUGCGUCCGGAUGCCCAGAUUUUUUUUAAAAUUUAGAUUUGUUAAGCUGAAUGGCUUAAUAGAGUCAUUUUUCAAUGUAAUAUAAAGUCGUACUAUUUAAUAGCACUAAAUCUGAUUCUAUUAAAUCGCACGAUUUAACAGCGUGUCUACAUAGAAAAAAAAAAACAAGAGAGUGCUAGCACCAAAGAAUGAUUGUAUAUAUUUCAAUAUUUGUGCAUCUCUCUCUCUCUCUCUCUCUCUCUCUCUCUCUCUCUCUCUCUCUCUCUCUCUCUCUCUCUAUAUAUAUAUAUAUAUAUAUAUAUAUAUAUAUAUAUAUAUAAAUCAUUCUCAAGUGCGAGCAGUCUCAUUGUUUUUUAAUUCAGACACUCUAUUAAGCUAUUUGAUUGAAUAGAGUUAAUUUUUAAUAAAUUAUAAGAUGUACAAUUUAAUAGCAUUAAAAAUUUAACUCUAUUGAACCGCAAAGCUUAAUAGUGCGUUCGCAUGAGGAAAAAAAUGAGGGUCUCCCCCCAAACACAAACAAUUCUUCUUUAGUGUAAGCUCCCUCAUUUUUUUCACACGGACAUAUUGUUAAACUAGACAGUUUAAUAAAGUCAAUAAAUAACACUAUUAAAAUAACACUAUUGAACCGCACAAUUUUAUAGUGCAUAAGAAUUUAAUGUUUAUUGAUUGAGAUUUUUCAUUCCUAUCCAAACUUUAAUAAAUACAUUUAAAAAAAAAAAGGAUCAACAUUUCAUGCAUGUUAUACAUAUGAUUGAAUUGGAGUUUAAUGAUAAUAAUAUGAUCGUUCAAUGUAUUUUUGACAACAAUGUGGAAACUGCUUUCACUAGAAGGAGUUGAAGUAUUUUUAUCAUUUAUUUUAUAUUGGUACCAACCAAUAACGACAGGAGUUGAGAAUAAACAAUCAUAUAUAAUAAAUAGGCUUAUAAGAACACAUUCACUGGGAAAGUGCUUUCUAGCUGCUGCAAAAUGUGAUUUUAAUACGGCACAAGACUGCCAAGUGCUUACAGCGAACCACUGUUCACAAAGACGCCCAAACUCGUUUGACGAUGCUCAUACAAUCCAUGGCCUCUGCCUCUCUUUCCGUAUCUCUCGGAUUACGCCACGAAGCAGCCAGUUAUGCCUUAAAGCAGGAUUUGCUUUAGCUUCUUCCGUGGCUCCAAUUAUUGUCCGCUAUUGCUGGACUUAAUUAUAUAACUGGCCCAUUAAGGAAGAAUUACUUUUAAAUUGACAAAAACCCCAUUUCGAUGCUCUGUAGAAACACAAGCAAUCACAGUUCCCUAGCUAAAACAGUGUAAUAGAAGAUAAUUGUGAACCAUUUAUUAUAAAAUUUAAUCAGAAUUAACGGGUUCGUUAAAUUUAGUUUUUGAACUAAAACAUCCAUCUUUCUUCUAAUGACAUAUUAAAAUGUAUGCUUCUGCUGUUUCAAUUUUCUUCACAUGUAACACAAAAUUAUUUGUUAACCGACCAAUAACUGACCCAAAAUUCAAAUUAUACAAGAGUUUGCUACUUUCAAAGGAGAAAAAAAAAAAAGCAACUUAGUUCAGAAGUUGGCAAUGUGGAAUGGAUGACCUAAUUAAUGAUAAAGCACUAACUUGUUCCUCGUCGAGGCUCCGUGCAUUGAGAAAUUCUAAAAUACCUUUAAUGUAUUAUAACUAAUUGAUGCAUGCAUUACAUGUGUAAUUGAAUUUAAUAUAACUACCACUUGUAUGAUAAUUUUUUAAAAUAAAUACAUACAUGUCAUAGUAUUAUUUAGUUGUCACAUGGCUGACAUAAUACCUCUGAUAUAUUCUAAAUUUUCUCUCGUGCAUUAGGAAAUGGCAUGAUGAACCGUUCCAUUCACCAUGCACUUAAGAUAAUAUUAGAAAUUAAUAACAAUUUGCACAACUUUCAUUUGUGAAACGGAUUCACACUCUAAUUAUUCUAAUUGACGACGAUUAGAUAAUUUGGCCAGUUUUGGUGUCUACCAAUACAGUGGUUCGACUUAACAACACUGAUCAUUGACCCGUCAAAUUUAAAUCUUAUAAUGUUUAAAAUCAACAAUAUUAAGUCGGUUUUAUAGAAUUGGAAUGUAAAAUUUAUAUUCGGAUCGAACAUUCUAGUAAUAAUUAUAUGUUAAGUAGUUGUUAACUAUUUAUGUCAUCAAUAAUGUGAUAAUUAUGUUGUAGUAAUUGAUAAGAAGCGAGUCAAGUGCUAUCAUACAAGGAGAACGUAUUUUAUAUAUAAUUUAAUUGGUCGUAAAAUUGAAUUAUAAUGUACAUGUCCUUAAGGUGUUUAUUUGACAAUGUACCCCUAAUUGACAUACAUGAGUUAGGAUCAAGGAGAAAUAAACGAAAAGAGUAUGAUGACUAAAAUCUAAAGUAACCGGGUAUAUUGUGAAUGGUACUUUUCACUUGCCAAUAAUUCGGCUUUGAGUAUAAUAUAUAUUUACUGGAUGAGAGAUAACUAUGGCCCAAAUCAUUCACACAUAUUGAUGUUGGAUAGAGAAAUUGAAUUGGGUAUUGAUCGAUCGAUUUCCAUAACUGAUAACUAAUGGUUGGUUAAAUAGUUUUGAUCAAUGAUCGAUUGUAUGAUUAUGAAUUACGAGAGAAGACCUUGUUACCUUACGUGAUGAGGUAACCACAACUCUUUUAUGAUUGUUCAGUACAUCUCCAACCGUUUGAUUAAAUCUAUUGGUUUCAAUUCUAUAACGUUUAUGACCUUAUCAUAUAAAGUAACAAAGUCCUUUAUAUAUUUAUCGUGCAAUUUAUUUAAUUAGUCAAAUUGUCUAAUUCAUUUCUAUCAAAAAAAUUAGGUUUGCACAACGACAAUCUUCUACAUAUUUUCCAUAAAAGUAGUAUUCUUACUUAUUUCGAUGAUCCUCGAUACAAAAGAAAGAAUUCUGGAAUUACUAAAUGGAGGACCAUGGGAGUGCAUUCAAAAAAUAAAAAGUACUCUUUUUAUAUUUUUAUCGUGUAAUUUAUUUAAUUGGCCAAUUUAUCUAAUCCAUCUUUAUCAAAAAAUUAGGUUCGUACAACGACAAUUUUUUAUGUAUUUUUCAUAAAAAUAAUAUUCUUACUUAUUUUGAUGAUUCUCGAUACAGAAGAAAGAGUUCUAAAAUUAUUAAAUAGAGGACCAUGGGAGCACAUUCAAUCGCUAAAAAAGAGAACUUGAUUGAGACUAAACAAUUUUUAAAAAUGGAUCUAUGUUCAAAAAGUAAUUUAGGAACAUAAUAGAUCCGAAAUAGACAUUAAUUUGAUGUGAUCCAGUCCAUUCAUCUUCACAAAUACAACAGCAAUAAAUCAUAUUUAGUUAUAGAUUUUAAGCUGGGUGUAUAGCUCGCAGUGAAUAAAUAUGCAUUACAGUUUUAACUUUUACGUAUUCAAUCACUUAAGAGUUCAAAUAAUUAUAGAGAUAAAGAGUCCAUAUUUUAUUUUAGUGGGUAAAAUUUAUUGUUCCCAUCCGAACUUUGACAAUUAAAACAAAAAUAUAUAUAUAUUCAUGAUGUUUUAUAAAUUUAUACUACGAAAAUCUAUAUCAGUAAAUUUAUUUGUUUGGUGUAACAAUUAAGUUGUACCAAAAUAAAGAUGGAAUUCUCACAUUUAACAUGAAAAAAUUCAUUAACAUUACAAGAUCAACUCGUCGAAAUAAUGUGUUCAAUUUUGGUGUCUUCGAACAAAUUAUAAGACAAUUUUUUUUUACCUGCUAGCACAAGUUAGAUUCAAACAUAUUAUGGUUAAGGUACAUACAGAUUUUUUUUUUUUUUUAAACUGAUUAAGCAUCAGGUUACUGUAUUACACAGAGAUACUUAUAAAUAACAACAUAUCAUUGCACUGAUAUUUACAAUCAGAUAUAUACCUGGGAUUUACAUUAUUACAUUUUUAUUCUAUGAAGUACAUGCCCAGCCAAAUACCCCUCAAGGAAGAGGGAUGUCUUGACUCCAAAUGACAACAUAUCAUUGCACUGAUAUUUACAAUCAGAUAUAUACCUGGGAUUUACAUUAUUACAUUUUUAUUCUAUGAAGUACAUGCCCAGCCAAAUACCCCUCAAGGAAGAGGGAUGUCUUGACUCCACUCGCAUUUCGCAAGGGAGAAAGACGUUAUAAACAAUCUCCACACAAUUAUAACUAAUUGAGGAAGUUUGAGUUCGUGGAGACUCGAACCAUUGCCCUCAUAGUCAUGCUUGACUUUAAGGGCAAUGGUUCACCACCGGGCCACAAGCCCAAGUGGCAGGUACAUACAGAUUCAAUUAAAUGUUAAAGUCGGCAAACAAUUACUGGGCUCCACUGAGAAUAUAAUUAAUUAAUCGACUAAAGCAAUUGGGUAGUUAACAUAGAAUUUGACAAAUUAACAAAAACAUCCCUUGAAGUUUGGAAAAACUAAAGGCUCAGUAAAAGAAAAAAUUAUGGUACCUUACGCUUAUAUAAAAAAGGGAAAUUAUCUACCGUCCACCCGUUUUUUAACUUUUUUAAAAAAACAUAAUUCUUUUUUUUUUUGCUGGAAUCCACCUGAAGUUAUAUUUUUUUUUUUCACUUUUCCACUUCCGGUUUGGAAUCCAUUAAGGAAAUUAACGGAAUAUGGCUUAAAGGACUUUUUUACCCUCAAAUGUAAAAGAUAAUUUAUCCAUCGACCACCUAUUUUUUUCGUAUUUUUCAGAAAUACACAAUUUUUUAAUUUUUUUUUGUUGACCUCCACUCGAAGUUGUAUUGUUUUACACCUAUCCACCACUGUGUCGUUGUGAAAUGACGAUUUUACCCUUAUGAUGUUAGCAAAGUUAUAACGGUCUCCAAACGGAAGUGGAAAAGUGAAAAGAAAUGUAAUUUCAGGUGGAUUCCAGCAAAAAAAAAAAUUGUGUAUUUUUAAAAAAACAAUGAAAAAAGGGGUGAAUGGUGGAUAAUUUCCCUAUGAAAAAUAUUAUUUGCAUGAGUUGUUUGGGGAAAAGGCGAUUUUUGUGAUGUGAGUUUUUGGGAAAAAGGAGAUUUUUGUGAUGUGAGCUGUGUUUUGUUUGAAAUUGGGUUGAUGAGAAAGAAUAGUUUAUGAUAAGUUAAAAGCUCAUUUAAUCCGUAUAUUUUUUAAUUAAUUAGUCUCUAUAUUUUUUAAAAUACCUCUAAACAUCUACAUCGUUAAAUUAUUUACACUAUUGUUAUUAUUUUUUGUUCUUUUUUUACUUACUUUUUCAAGAUUAUUUUCUUACAAUAAUAUUUCUUUUUCUGGAAACAAUAAGGAGAGAAAAUUAAUGUAAAAAAAUAAAAUUAAUGUAAAAUACCUCUAAACAUAUUUUUAUUUGUAUUUUUAUUUUUGGGGUUAAAUUGAUAAUUUAAUUUUUGUUAUUAAUGUAAAAAAAGAAAUAUUAUUGUAAGAGAGUAAUAUUUUAAAAAUAAGUAAAAAAAACAAAAAAAAUAACAGCAAAGGUAUUAAUAAUUUCACAAUAAAAAUAAUUUAAGAUAUUUUUAAAAAUACAUAAAGUAAACAGACACCAAUCUCGUAAUAUAGAAGUUAAAUAAACUUGUAUUCUUUACUAUACCCGAACGGUAAAAGUACUGGGCACCAUUUUCAAAAUCAGAGGACUCGGCGUGAAAAUAUGUUUUCGUAACUUGGUUUCCCAUCGGGCAGGGGGUGGCUAAUUAAAACCCCAAAGGUUAGUUUUGGGCUGGACUUGCAAUCUGUUCCCAAUUGUAUUUACAUGAGUGAAGCUUUUGACACCCCUAUAAAAUCCUUAUAACACCCCUUUAGAUUUUUAUUUCUUAAAAUAUCCCUCUUCAAGUUACAAAGUACUAAUCAUAUAUUAAAAACAACCAUCUUUUCGUAAAUUUUUUCUCAAAGAAAAAGCAUUUCUUUUAAGUUUUUAUUUUAAAAUAUAUAAAAAUCUUAAAUUAUUUUUUUUCUUAUUGUAUAGUGUCUACCUCCAUAAUCCCAAACUUUUAUAUAUUUUUCAAAAAAAAUUGUAAUUAAAAUUUAAUAUAUAAAUAUAAAUACAAAUAUAAAUUAUAAAAUAGGGUGGGUGUAAAAAAAAAUUUUAAAAGAAAAUUGCAUUCAAGUGUUUAAUUGAAUUUCUAUUUAAAAUAAGAAAUGAAUUAAUUUAACUUUGGUUAUUUUAAUGGUUUCAAUUGAAAAGGGGUUCUAUGAAUUUUGAGGGGCGGCGGAAGGCAUACCCUCUUUAACAUCUAGUUAAUGAUAGAAUGUUUGACAUCGGCCCAAAUCAUGCAUUUAUAUUAUAAAUUUUAAAAUUAGAAGAAGAAAAUGAAUAUUGGGUACUGAUUUUCAUAAAAGAAGUAUUAGACAUCUCAAUAUUUUAUAAACAAAUAAUAUGCUUUUCAUCAACUAAAUGAUGGGAUAAUGUAAUUAAUUUAAUUAAAUUUUAUAUUAAAAAAAAUAAACCACUUAAUAUGUAGUCUAUUGUAAAUCUUUCAAUUAAUUAGUUUGUUAUUGUGAGAGAGAUUUUUGGCAAAAUGGCUUUACUAUUUUAUUAUUCAAUUGAUGAUCCUAAUUGACUUUACGAGCUGGCCAACUUGUCGAAUCCAUCGCCAUCGCAACAGGAUUUGGUCUUGACACAAAGUGGUGACAUUUAUAUGACAUAUAUAGGUUAUCAAUUAAGUCUUCUAUCACGUAAAGUAAGUACCAAAAUAACUUUAGUCACGGAACAAUAUCUUGUUGGGAUGAGUUUUUUAUUCUAUGACAUUUAUAUAUGUUAUGACUACAUCAUAAUCUCAGCUUUUAUUUAAACAAAUACAUGACAUUGAUCGUUGAUAAUUUAUAAUCAAGAGAACUUUAGUCCAGCUAUUACAAUAAUCAUAAUUACUAAAAAAAAAUCAACAUUUAAUAAUAAACAUUUGACAUUGUAAGGGAUAUUUAAUUUAACAAUCGUUCACUGGGUUGUCAUUCCAUGCUCAUUAGGGUAUAUAAUUGAUUCCUUUUGUCUCAUACUCAAUGAGCUGGCCAAAUUGCCUAAUCCGUCUCUAUCACCUGGAACAAUUUUUGGUUUUAACAAGCAGUGUUGACAUAAUGUUGGCAUUUAUACGAUCUAUGGUUUCGUCCGAGUCUUUUUCUCUCUAAAUUGUAAUUACCAAAAAUAACCCAACACAUAGAUUUGCAAUUCUGAUUCACGGAACCAUAUUUGUGGGAAGAGUUUUUCGUUACAUUAAACAUCACAAUUAUUAAGUAAUUAUAACAAUUAAUCAACUUAUUGUAGAAACAAAUCUAUUUGCUUUCAUAACUAUUAAUGCUUAGGUCUCACUUCCAUGCCCUCAACUAUAAUCCCACCUUUUAGUUGAUACCCUUUCACCUCCUUCAAGCUCAUUUUCACCUCAUCAUCAUCACACACACCAUUAAAGAAUUUUCCAAGCUCAAUUUCCACCCACCCGUCUUCUUUUUCACAUGGGAUUUGUUCAUUUUCGCCGCCUUUAUCUAUCAACUUUGAUGUCACCAUCAUUUCCAUGCCAUCCACUAGCACU
RNAcentral lists this long non-coding RNA (8984 nucleotides) under Citrus x clementina. RNAcentral describes it as "Citrus clementina (C. clementina) long non-coding RNA (CCLE_LNC002989)". The record is from RNAcentral. Lineage: Eukaryota; Viridiplantae; Streptophyta; Magnoliopsida; Sapindales; Rutaceae.